RNAcentral lists this ribosomal RNA (465 nucleotides) under uncultured bacterium. Its description in RNAcentral is "partial 16S ribosomal RNA". It matches the Rfam family "Bacterial small subunit ribosomal RNA", at positions 28 to 507 of the family's 1533-position model. The record is from RNAcentral.
GACGAACGCUGGCGGCGUGCUUAACACAUGCAAGUCGAACGGAAAGGCCCCUUUGGGGGUACUCGAGUGGCGCACGGGUGAGUAACACGUGAGUAACCUGCCCUUGACUUCGGGAUAACUUCAGGAAACUGGGGCUAAUACCGGAUAGGAAUCCUUGCUGCAUGGUGGGGGUUGGAAAGCUUCGGCGGUUUUGGAUGGACUCGCGGCUUAUCAGCUUGUUGGUGGGGUAGUGGCUUACCAAGGCUUUGACGGGUAGCCGGCCUGAGAGGGCGACCGGCCACAGUGGGACUGAGAUACGGCCCAGACUCCUACGGGAGGCAGCAGUGGGGAAUAUUGCACAAUGGGCGGAAGCCUGAUGCAGCAACGCCGCGUGCGGGAUGACGGCCUUCGGGUUGUAAACCGCUUUCAGCAGGGGCGAAGCUUGUGGUGACGGUACCUGCAGAAGAAGCACCGGCUAACUACGUG